Molecule: ribosomal RNA, 253 nt
Filed under: uncultured bacterium
Lineage: Bacteria
Description: partial 16S ribosomal RNA
Rfam family: Bacterial small subunit ribosomal RNA
Source: RNAcentral
UACGUAGGGUGCGAGCGUUAAUCGGAAUUACUGGGCGUAAAGCGUGCGCAGGCGGUUUUGUAAGCCAGACGUGAAAUCCCCGGGCUUAACCUGGGAAUGGCGUUUGGGACUGCAAGGCUCGAGUACGGCAGAGGGGACUAGAAUUCCUGGUGUAGCAGUGAAAUGCGUAGAUAUCAGGAGGAAUACCGAUGGCGAAGGCAGGUCCCUGGGUUAGUACUGACGCUCAUGCACGAAAGCGUGGGGAGCAAACAGG